UGGCUCAGUGGCAGAGCACUUGCCUUGCAUGCAUGAGGCCCUGGGUUCGAUUCCUCAG
This is a non-coding RNA of Dipodomys ordii (Ord's kangaroo rat), 58 nucleotides long. NCBI's taxonomy places the organism in Eukaryota, Metazoa, Chordata, Mammalia, Rodentia, Heteromyidae. The record is from Rfam.